UACAGAGGGUGCAAACGUUGUUCGGAAUUACUGGGCGUAAAGGGUGCGUAGGUGGGUCUGUAAGUCAGUGGUGAAAUCUCCGGGCUUAACCCGGAAACUGCCAUUGAUACUAUAGGUCUUGAAUAUCCUGGAGGUGAGCGGAAUAUGUCAUGUAGCGGUGAAAUGCUUAGAUAUGACAUAGAACACCAAUUGCGAAGGCAGCUCACUACGGGAUUAUUGACACUGAGGCACGAAAGCGUGGGGAUCAAACAGG
RNAcentral lists this ribosomal RNA (253 nucleotides) under uncultured bacterium. RNAcentral's name for it is "partial 16S ribosomal RNA". It matches the Rfam family "Bacterial small subunit ribosomal RNA", at positions 524 to 776 of the family's 1533-position model. The record is from RNAcentral.